Molecule: ribosomal RNA, 494 nt
Filed under: uncultured bacterium
Lineage: Bacteria
Description: partial 16S ribosomal RNA
Rfam family: Bacterial small subunit ribosomal RNA
Source: RNAcentral
GACGAACGCUGGCGGCGUGCUUGACACAUGCAAGUCGAACGGAAAGGCCUGCUUUCCCUUGUGGAUUGCGGGGACUCGAGUGGCGAACGGGUGAGUAACACGUGAGUGAUCUGCCCCCAACUUGUGUAUAAGCCUGGGAAACUGGGUCUAAUUCUCGAUAGGACUGCAGGGUGGUGCCUGUGGUGGAAAACUGUUUUCUAGUGGUUGGGGAUGAGGUCUCGGCUUGUCAGCUUGUUGGUGGGGUAAUGGACUACCAAGGCGGCGACGGGUAGCCGGAGUGAGAGGAUGGACAGCGACACUGGGACUGAGACACGGCCCAGACGCCAACGAGAGGCAGCAGAGGGGAAUAUGAGACCAUGGGCGGAAGCCUGAUGCAGCGACGCCGUGUGGGAGAUGACGGGCUUGGGGUUGUAUACUCCUUUCGACCACGAGCAGGCCACCUGGAUGGAAGGGUGGUGACGGUAGUGGUAGAAGAAGCACCGGCUAACUACGUG